This 446-nucleotide ribosomal RNA is filed under the name uncultured bacterium. RNAcentral's name for it is "partial 16S ribosomal RNA". It matches the Rfam family "Bacterial small subunit ribosomal RNA", at positions 338 to 795 of the family's 1533-position model. The record is from RNAcentral.
CCUACGGGUGGCAGCAGUCGAGAAUCAUUCACAAUGGGGGAAACCAUGAUGGUGCGACGCCGCGUGGGGGAAUGAAGGUCUUCGGAUUGUAAACCCCUGUCAUGUGGGAGCAAAUUAAAAAGAUAGUACCACAAGAGGAAGAGACGGCUAACUCUGUGCCAGCAGCCGCGGUAAUACAGAGGUCUCAAGCGUUGUUCGGAAUCACUGGGCGUAAAGCGUGCGUAGGCUGUUUCGUAAGUCGUGUGUGAAAGGCGCGGGCUCAACCCGCGGACGGCACAUGAUACUGCGAGACGAGAGGAAUGGAGGGGGAACCGGAAUUCUCGGUGUAGCAGUGAAAUGCGUAGAUAUCGAGAGGAACACUCGUGGCGAAGGCGGGUUCCUGGACAUUAACUGACGCUGAGGCACGAAGGCCAGGGGAGCGAAAGGGAUUAGAUACCCUUGUAGUC